Molecule: long non-coding RNA, 345 nt
Organism: Gasterosteus aculeatus aculeatus (three-spined stickleback)
Lineage: Eukaryota; Metazoa; Chordata; Actinopteri; Perciformes; Gasterosteidae
Source: Ensembl
UCUGGUUUGCUUUUUAAGGUUGACUGAGCCAUUUGAAUUAGUUGGGAUGGGCUUGGUCGUAAGCUAAAAUGCACCAAGAAUGGGUGUCAAUACAUUUGUGUGAUGGUGGACUAUUUCACAAAGUGGCUUGAGGUAUACUCACUGAAAACCAAAGGAGCAGAAGAAAUCUCUGUGUAUAAUGGAUUUCUUCUAUAAAUAUGGCGCCCCAAAGCGUAUCCUCACCGACCGCGGAAAGGAAUUUGUGAACAAAAUGAAUACCGAGUGCCAGAAACUUGGCAUUGACCGAAGCCUCUGUGCUUCAUACCACCGGCAAACCAAUGGCUUGGUUGAAAAACUCAAUGGCAC